GUGAGGAAUAUUGGUCAAUGGGCGGGAGCCUGAACCAGCCAAGUCGCGUGAAGGAAGAAGGAUCUAUGGUUCGUAAACUUCUUUUGCAGGGGAAUAAAGUGCAGGACGUGUCCUGUUUUGUAUGUACCCUGAGAAUAAGGAUCGGCUAACUCCGUGCCAGCAGCCGCGGUAAUACGGAGGAUCCGAGCGUUAUCCGGAUUUAUUGGGUUUAAAGGGUGCGUAGGUGGUUUGAUAAGUCAGCGGUGAAAGUUUGCAGCUUAACUGUAAAAAUGCCGUUGAAACUGUCGGACUUGAGUAUAAAUGAGGUAGGCGGAAUGCGUGGUGUAGCGGUGAAAUACAUAGAUAUCACGCAGAACUCCGAUUGCGAAGGCAGCUUACUAAGCUACAACUGACACUGAAGCACGAAAGCGUGGGGAUCAAACAGGAUUAGAUACCCGAGUAGUCC
RNAcentral lists this ribosomal RNA (445 nucleotides) under uncultured bacterium. Its description in RNAcentral is "partial 16S ribosomal RNA". It matches the Rfam family "Bacterial small subunit ribosomal RNA", at positions 354 to 796 of the family's 1533-position model. The record is from RNAcentral.